GAACGCUGGCGGCGUGCUUAACACAUGCAAGUCGAACGAUGAAGCCUUUCGGGGUGGAUUAGUGGCGAACGGGUGAGUAACACGUGGGCAAUCUGCCCUUCACUCUGGGACAAGCCCUGGAAACGGGGUCUAAUACCGGAUAACACUCUGUCCCGCAUGGGACGGGGUUAAAAGCUCCGGCGGUGAAGGAUGAGCCCGCGGCCUAUCAGCUUGUUGGUGGGGUAAUGGCCUACCAAGGCGACGACGGGUAGCCGGCCUGAGAGGGCGACCGGCCACACUGGGACUGAGACACGGCCCAGACUCCUACGGGAGGCAGCAGUGGGGAAUAUUGCACAAUGGGCGAAAGCCUGAUGCAGCGACGCCGCGUGAGGGAUGACGGCCUUCGGGUUGUAAACCUCUUUCAGCAGGGAAGAAGCGAAAGUGACGGUACCUGCAGAAGAAGCGCCGGCUAACUACGUGCCAGCAGCCGCGGUAAUACGUAGGGCGCAAGCGUUGUCCGGAAUUAUUGGGCGUAAAGAGCUCGUAGGCGGCUUGUCACGUCGGAUGUGAAAGCCCGGGGCUUAACCCCGGGUCUGCAUUCGAUACGGGCUAGCUAGAGUGUGGUAGGGGAGAUCGGAAUUCCUGGUGUAGCGGUGAAAUGCGCAGAUAUCAGGAGGAACACCGGUGGCGAAGGCGGAUCUCUGG
RNAcentral lists this ribosomal RNA (684 nucleotides) under Streptomyces sp. Its description in RNAcentral is "bacterial SSU rRNA". It matches the Rfam family "Bacterial small subunit ribosomal RNA", at positions 31 to 732 of the family's 1533-position model. Lineage: Bacteria; Bacillati; Actinomycetota; Actinomycetes; Kitasatosporales; Streptomycetaceae. The record is from RNAcentral.